CGGUAUAAAUAGAGGCAUGAAAUGUGAUAUGAGAUACACUUGAAUACUUGAUGAAAUAAGAAAGUUAUUUAUUGUUCUACUAUCUAUGACUUAUCUUCUUGUUUUAUAUUGUUACUUUGAGCUACAUUUUUGAACAAGGACUAAACGCAUACACUGGUCUUCAAGUGAUAAGGUACCCCUUCCCGAUGCUAUUGAAAUACAGAGCAUAAAUGAAACCUUUAACCAUUUUUCAUGACCUUAACCGAAAAUGAGAAUAACAAAAUUCUAUAUCGAGAAGUGAACCAAAUCAGUCUGAUUGCACACAGAAAUGGAUUUGAUUCCAUCUGGCUGCCGUUAGCUAUUGUAAAGGACUAGGAGAAGUAACGUUCUGACGAGGAGUUAGCUUGAGCACAACUAGUUGUACAUUCUACAGAUAUGGACAUUUGAGUUCCAACAGAAGCUACAAGCUCUGGUACGCUAAACACAUGCUAAAUCUUUGACAUCUUUUUCCAGCUACAACAGGAAAGUAUUUUCUACAGUUCAAACAACCCUAACUUCAACAGAUCAAUCGAUGUCUUACUUGGAGGGAGCUGCCGCGGGAAGAUUGAUCAAUUUGAUCUUCAAUUCUAUAUCCCCAGACUCCACCUCACAGAGCCUCAA
RNAcentral lists this long non-coding RNA (639 nucleotides) under Nicotiana benthamiana. RNAcentral's name for it is "long non-coding RNA (NBEN_LNC002969)". The record is from RNAcentral. Lineage: Eukaryota; Viridiplantae; Streptophyta; Magnoliopsida; Solanales; Solanaceae.